CGGCCGCGUCGACAGGUCUUGACAUCCCGAUGCUAUUUCUAGAGAUAGAAAGUUACUUCGGUACAUCGGUGACAGGUGGUGCAUGGUUGUCGUCAGCUCGUGUCGUGAGAUGUUGGGUUAAGUCCCGCAACGAGCGCAACCCCUAUUGUUAGUUGCCAUCAUUCAGUUGGGCACUCUAGCGAGACUGCCGGUAAUAAACCGGAGGAAGGUGGGGAUGACGUCAAAUCAUCAUGCCCCUUAUGACCUGGGCUACACACGUGCUACAAUGGUUGGUACAACGAGUUGCGAGUCGGUGACGGCGAGCUAAUCUCUUAAAGCCAAUCUCAGUUCGGAUUGUAGGCUGCAACUCGCCUACAUGAAGUCGGAAUCGCUAGUAAUCGCGGAUCAGCACGCCGCGGUGAACUACGUUCCCGGGCCUUGUACACGUCGACGCGGCCG
This 438-nucleotide ribosomal RNA is filed under the name uncultured Streptococcus sp. Its description in RNAcentral is "bacterial SSU rRNA". It matches the Rfam family "Bacterial small subunit ribosomal RNA", at positions 963 to 1387 of the family's 1533-position model. Lineage: Bacteria; Bacillati; Bacillota; Bacilli; Lactobacillales; Streptococcaceae. The record is from RNAcentral.